Molecule: ribosomal RNA, 780 nt
Filed under: uncultured Staphylococcus sp.
Lineage: Bacteria; Bacillati; Bacillota; Bacilli; Caryophanales; Staphylococcaceae
Description: bacterial SSU rRNA
Rfam family: Bacterial small subunit ribosomal RNA
Source: RNAcentral
CAGUCGAGCGAACGGACGAGAAGCUUGCUUCUCUGAUGUUAGCGGCGGACGGGUGAGUAACACGUGGAUAACCUACCUAUAAGACUGGGAUAACUUCGGGAAACCGGAGCUAAUACCGGAUAAUAUUUUGAACCGCAUGGUUCAAAAGUGAAAGACGGUCUUGCUGUCACUUAUAGAUGGAUCCGCGCUGCAUUAGCUAGUUGGUAAGGUAACGGCUUACCAAGGCAACGAUGCAUAGCCGACCUGAGAGGGUGAUCGGCCACACUGGAACUGAGACACGGUCCAGACUCGAUGCCCUCCCAGCAGUAGGGAAUCUUCCGCAAUGGGCGAAAGCCUGACGGAGCAACGCCGCGUGAGUGAACUUCCAGAACGGAUCGUAAAACUCUGUUAUUAGGGAAGAACAUAUGUGUAAGUAACUGUGCACAUCUUGACGGUACCUAAUCAGAAAGCCACGGCUAACUACGUGCCAGCAGCCGCGGUAAUACGUAGGUGGCAAGCGUUAUCCGGAAUUAUUGGGCGUAAAGCGCGCGUAGGCGGUUUUUUAAGUCUGAUGUGAAAGCCCACGGCUCAACCGUGGAGGGUCAUUGGAAACUGGAAAACUUGAGUGCAGAAGAGGAAAGUGGAAUUCCAUGUGUAGCGGUGAAAUGCGCAGAGAUAUGGAGGAACACCAGUGGCGAAAGCGACUUUCUGGUCUGUAACUGACGCUGAUGUGCGAAAGCGUGGGGAUCAAACAGGAUUAGAUACCCUGGUAGUCCACGCCGUAACGAUGAACGAACCGUA